UACGGCGAGUGAAGCGGCAAAAGCUCAAAUUUGAAAUCUGGUACCUUCGGUGCCCGAGUUGUAAUUUGGAGAGGGCAACUUUGGGGCCGUUCCUUGUCUAUGUUCCUUGGAACAGGACGUCAUAGAGGGUGAGAAUCCCGUGUGGCGAGGAGUGCGGUUCUUUGUAAAGUGCCUUCGAAGAGUCGAGUUGUUUGGGAAUGCAGCUCUAAGUGGGUGGUAAAUUCCAUCUAAAGCUAAAUAUUGGCGAGAGACCGAUAGCGAACAAGUACAGUGAUGGAAAGAUGAAAAGAACUUUGAAAAGAGAGUGAAAAAGUACGUGAAAUUGUUGAAAGGGAAGGGCAUUUGAUCAGACAUGGUGUUUUGUGCCCUCUGCUCCUUGUGGGUAGGGGAAUCUCGCAUUUCACUGGGCCAGCAUCAGUUUUGGUGGCAGGAUAAAUCCAUAGGAAUGUAGCUUGCCUCGGUAAGUAUUAUAGCCUGUGGGAAUACUGCCAGCUGGGACUGAGGACUGCGACGUAAGUCAAGGAUGCUGGCAUAAUGGUUAUAUGCCGCCCGUCUUGA
RNAcentral lists this ribosomal RNA (558 nucleotides) under Saccharomyces cerevisiae (brewer's yeast). RNAcentral describes it as "eukaryotic LSU rRNA". It matches the Rfam family "Eukaryotic large subunit ribosomal RNA", at positions 85 to 657 of the family's 3401-position model. The record is from RNAcentral. Lineage: Eukaryota; Fungi; Ascomycota; Saccharomycetes; Saccharomycetales; Saccharomycetaceae.